RNAcentral lists this ribosomal RNA (519 nucleotides) under uncultured eukaryote. Its description in RNAcentral is "bacterial SSU rRNA". The stretch from base 16 to 435 matches the Rfam family "Eukaryotic small subunit ribosomal RNA", at positions 1176 to 1611 of the family's 1831-position model. The record is from RNAcentral.
AGGGCACCACCAGGAGUGGAGCCUGCGGCUUAAUUUGACUCAACACGGGAAAACUCACCCGGCCCGGACACUGGAAGGAUUGACAGAUUGAGAGCUCUUUCUUGAUUCAGUGGGUGGUGGUGCAUGGCCGUUCUUAGUUGGUGGAGUGAUUUGUCUGGUUAAUUCCGAUAACGAACGAGACUCUAGCCUACUAAAUAGUCGCGGGCGUUCUCGUACCGCCCGUCGGCUUCUUAGAGGGACAGGCGGCGUCUUAGCCGCAUGAGAAAGAGCAAUAACAGGUCUGUGAUGCCCUUAGAUGUCCGGGGCUGCACGCGCGCUACACUGAAGUAAUCAGCGCGCAUGCAGCCGCCUACCCCGAAAGGGGCGGGAAACCGAGUGAACAUUUUUCUUGUCUGGCAUUGGGAAUAGGAAUUAAGUAUCUAUGCAGCGAGGAAUGGACAAAAACAAGGAGUUAGCAGAUUAAGGGGAGAAGGGCGAUACACAUUAGAACAAAACUCAUUCUCUAUAUCUAAUUAAAUG